Molecule: ribosomal RNA, 881 nt
Filed under: Chrysoreinhardia sp. EGEMACC 21
Lineage: Eukaryota; Pelagophyceae; Sarcinochrysidales; Chrysocystaceae
Description: bacterial SSU rRNA
Rfam family: Eukaryotic small subunit ribosomal RNA
Source: RNAcentral
AGGGUCAAGUUCUCUGGAUUAUGAAGAUCGAACCUGGCUCGCGCAAGCGUUCGAACAAGGAGCGGUCUCCAUAAUCAAGAACUGAAGGUAAGGGGAUCGAGAUGAUAGAUUCCAUCGUAGUUCUUACCCAUAAACCUAUGCGAUCAGGAUGGCGGGUCGUUGUUCUUCGGACUCCGUCAGCACUGUUAUGAGAAAUCAAAAUUCUUUGGGUUCCGGGGGGGAGGUAUGGUCGCAAGGCUGAAACUUAAAGAAAUUGACGGGAAGGGCACCACCAGGAGUGGAGCUUGCGGCUUAAUUUGACUCAACACGGGGAAACUUACCAGGUCCAGACAAAGUAAGGAUUGACAGAUUGAGAGCUCUUUCUUGAUUCUUUGGGUGGUGGUGCAUGGCCGUCUUAGUUGGUGGAGUGAUUUGUCUGGUUAAUUCCGUUAACGAACGAGACCCCCGCCUGCUAAAUAGUCGACGGAAUGCGCUUGCAUUGCGCCGACUUCUUAGAGGGACUUUUGGUGACUAACCAAAGGAAGCUGGGGGCAAUAACAGGUCUGUGAUGCCCUUAGAUGUCCUGGGCCGCACGCGCGCUACACUGGCACACGCAACGAGUCUAUCACCUUGGUCGGCAGGCCCGGGUAAUCUGUGAACGUGUGCCGUGAUUGGGAUAGAUUGUUGCAAUUUUCAAUCUUGAACGAGGAAUUCCUAGUAAACGCAAGUCAUCAGCUUGCAUUGAUUACGUCCCUGCCCUUUGUACACACCGCCCGUCGCACCUACCGAUUGAAUGGUUCGGUGAAAUCCUCGGACUGUGGCACGCAAGCCUCGCGGCGAACGUGCCGUGGGAAGUUGAUUAAACCUCAUCAUUAGAGAAGCUGCACCUGAUUAAUUGUUGC